CUGAAUUUCAAGUGUCGUGCCUCAACAGAACAACCAAAUAUAGCAGUUCAGAGACAAAUAAUUAAUGGUGACACUACAUAAAUGGCUGACAUAAAAAAUAACUGGUGCCUGUGACUACAAAUGUUGGCUAUGCUUUGCCUUUGGACAUGCAAGAAGUGCUGUGUCUGAACUGCUGUGCACAGGAGAAAAUAAGGAAAUAUUCCAGCACUGGUUCGCCAGGAGGCCAGAUGCUCUUCAGCAUAAGAAUAAAGCCCUCCUAGCUGUUGUAAGGAAAGAAACUCCUGCUAAGAUGGAAGGAGAAACUAAAGUCUCUCUUCUACCCUGCAAGCCCGUGUCUCAGCUGUGGAGAAACUAGUUCAGUGGCUGAAAGAAAGAGUAAGUCUCCUUUUUCACCUGUACAAACCAGUAUCUCAGCUAUUAGAAGUAAGCAUUCUUCUGCUUGAGAGACAGGAUGUAGUGAGUAUGCACCAAGUGUCAUCUUGUGGUUUUACCUGUGACCACAGAGGAUGUGAAGAGCUGGGAUGGAAAAUCCAC
RNAcentral lists this long non-coding RNA (534 nucleotides) under Coturnix japonica (Japanese quail). RNAcentral describes it as "lncRNA (ENSCJPG00005013852.1)". Lineage: Eukaryota; Metazoa; Chordata; Aves; Galliformes; Phasianidae. The record is from RNAcentral.